Molecule: long non-coding RNA, 2005 nt
Filed under: Homo sapiens (human)
Lineage: Eukaryota; Metazoa; Chordata; Mammalia; Primates; Hominidae
Description: HSALNT0404983
Source: RNAcentral
CUAAUUUUUUAAAUAACAUAUUUUGAAAGCAUUAACUAGUAAUUUGAAAAGAUCGCAUUUGACAGGCCAGUAUGAACAUACCUUGAAUGCAGCCACACAGGUUCCCCAUAAGAAAAAUCAAAAUCAGGGAAAAUGGAACCACAAAGGUUCAAUCUGCUCUGACCUUUGAAAAACUCAGCACAGAUAGUGGCACUUAGGACCAAGGGCAGCAGAUCCCUAAUCACAUCACCAUGGCGAUAGGGCAUAAACAUUCCAGGGUGAAGGCACAAUCCACACUGUGAGGUCCAAAUGCUGCCAUGCAGACAGCUUCAGGAAGGUCUUCCACGAGUUCUUCCAGAAGAAAGCCUUGUUAUCAUAGAAAAUGACAGCUGCAUGUAUGUUAUUGCCACUGAAGACCCUGAAGACCUUUCACUUGGACAAGAUUUCGAGAUGGAAGACAGUGAUAUUGAUUAUCCUGACCCUUACAGGGCUAAGCUAGUGUGUGUGUUUGUAUCUUAGUUUUUAACAAAAAUGUUUAAAACAUAAAAAAUCAAAAUAAAUGAAGCUUAUCAAAUAAGGAUAUAAAGUAUUUCUGUACAGCUGUUCAAUGUGUUUUUGUUUUAAGAUGUGUUAUUACCAAAGAAUCAAAAAAUUAAAAAAAUUAAAAGUUUAUAAAGUCAUGAUAAGCUAAGAUGAACUUGUUAAAGAAAGAAAAAAUUUAAAUACAUUUAGUGUAGCCUAAGUGUACAGUGCAUAUAAAGUCUAUAGUUAUGUACAGUAAUAUCCUAGGCCUUCGCAUUCACUCACCAAGUACUCACUGACUCAUCAGAGCAACUGCCAGUCCUGCAACUUCUGUUCAUGCUAAGUGUCCUUUACUGGUGUACCACUCUCUUUAAAUUUUGUAAUAUAUAUAUAUUUUUUUCUUUGUUUUUUUUUGAGAAGGAGUUUUAUUUUGUUGCCCAGGCUGGAGUUCAAUGAUACGAUCUUGGCUCACUGCAACCUCUGCCUCCGGGGUUCAAGUGAUUCUCCUGCCUCAGCCUCACGAGUAGCAGGGAUUACAGCCCCACGCCAGCAUGCCCAGCUAAUUUUGUAUUUUUAGUACAGACGGAGUUUCUCCAUGUUGGUCAGGCUGGUCUCGAACUUCUGACCUCAGGUGAUCCGCCCCCCUCGGUCUCCCAAUGUACUAUGUUUUUACUGUAUCUUUUCCAUGUUUAGAUAUUACUACUGUGAUAUAACUGCCUACAGCAGUGGGCCCCAAAGUUUUGACACCAGGGACUGGUUUUGUGAAAGAUAAUUUUUCCACGGAGUGGGGAUGGCUUUGGGCUGAAACUCUUCCACCUCAGAUCAUCAGGCAUUAGUUAGAUUCUUUUUUUUCUUUUUUUUCUUUUUUAGACUGAGUCUCCCACUGUUGCCAGGCUGGAGUGCAGUGGCACAAUCUCGGCUCACUGCAACCUCUGCCUCCCGGGUUCAAGUGAUUCUCCUGUCUCAGUCCCCCGAGUAGCUGGGACUACAGGCAUGCGCCACCACACCCAGCUAAUUUUUGUAUUUUUAGUAGAGACGGGGUUUCCAUGUUGGCCAGGAUUGUCUUGACCUUGUGAUCCACCUGCCUCGACCUCCCAGAGUGUUGGGAUUACAGGCGUGAGCCACAGCACCCAGCCUAGUUAGAUUCUCAUAAGGAGAACAUAACCUAGAUCCCUUCUAUGGGCAGUUCACAAUAGGGUUUGCGCUCCUGUGAGGGUCUAAUGCUGCUGCUGAUCUGACAGGAGGCGGAGCUCAGGCAGUAAUGCUCGGCUGGCCAGCCACUCAUCUACUGCUUUGUGCCCAGUUCCUAACAGGACACGAACCGGUGCUGGUCCAUGGCUUGGGUGUUGCGGACCAUUGGCCUACUGUAUUCAGCACAGUGACAUGCUGCACAGGUGUGUAGCCCAGGAGCAAUAGGCUGUACGAUAUAGCCUAGGUAUGUAGUAGGCUACGCUGUCUAGGUUUGUAUAAAGUACACUCUUUGGUGUCUGCACAGCCACAAAAU